Molecule: transfer RNA, 67 nt
Filed under: Marmota monax (woodchuck)
Lineage: Eukaryota; Metazoa; Chordata; Mammalia; Rodentia; Sciuridae
Description: tRNA.Val
Source: RNAcentral
GGCUAUAGCUCAACGGUAGAGUGCUUGCCUCACACGUGUGAGGCACUGAGUUCAAUCCUCAGCACCA